CAAAUUGAGAGUUUGAUCCUGGCUCAGGACGAACGCUGGCGGCGUGCCUAAUACAUGCAAGUCGAGCGAGCUGAAUUCAAAGAUCCCUUCGGGGUGAUUUGUUGGACGCUAGCGGCGGAUGGGUGAGUAACACGUGGGCAAUCUGCCCUAAAGACUGGGAUACCACUUGGAAACAGGUGCUAAUACCGGAUAACAACAUGAAUCGCAUGAUUCAAGUUUGAAAGGCGGCGUAAGCUGUCACUUUAGGAUGAGCCCGCGGCGCAUUAGCUAGUUGGUGGGGUAAAGGCCUACCAAGGCAAUGAUGCGUAGCCGAGUUGAGAGACUGAUCGGCCACAUUGGGACUGAGACACGGCCCAAACUCCUACGGGAGGCAGCAGUAGGGAAUCUUCCACAAUGGACGCAAGUCUGAUGGAGCAACGCCGCGUGAGUGAAGAAGGUUUUCGGAUCGUAAAGCUCUGUUGUUGGUGAAGAAGGAUAGAGGCAGUAACUGGUCUUUAUUUGACGGUAAUCAACCAGAAAGUCACGGCUAACUACGUGCCAGCAGCCGCGGUAAUACGUAGGUGGCAAGCGUUGUCCGGAUUUAUUGGGCGUAAAGCGAGCGCAGGCGGAAUGAUAAGUCUGAUGUGAAAGCCCACGGCUCAACCGUGGAACUGCAUCGGAAACUGUCAUUCUUGAGUGCAGAAGAGGAGAGUGGAAUUCCAUGUGUAGCGGUGGAAUGCGUAGAUAUAUGGAAGAACACCAGUGGCGAAGGCGGCUCUCUGGUCUGCAACUGACGCUGAGGCUCGAAAGCAUGGGUAGCGAACAGGAUUAGAUACCCUGGUAGUCCAUGCCGUAAACGAUGAGCGCUAGGUGUUGGGGACUUUCCGGUCCUCAGUGCCGCAGCAAACGCAUUAAGCGCUCCGCCUGGGGAGUACGACCGCAAGGUUGAAACUCAAAGGAAUUGACGGGGGCCCGCACAAGCGGUGGAGCAUGUGGUUUAAUUCGAAGCAACGCGAAGAACCUUACCAGGUCUUGACAUCCUGUGCUACACCUAGAGAUAGGUGGUUCCCUUCGGGGACGCAGAGACAGGUGGUGCAUGGCUGUCGUCAGCUCGUGUCGUGAGAUGUUGGGUUAAGUCCCGCAACGAGCGCAACCCUUGUCUUUAGUUGCCAUCAUUAAGUUGGGCACUCUAAAGAGACUGCCGGUGACAAACCGGAGGAAGGUGGGGAUGACGUCAAGUCAUCAUG
RNAcentral lists this ribosomal RNA (1226 nucleotides) under Lactobacillus delbrueckii subsp. bulgaricus. RNAcentral's name for it is "bacterial SSU rRNA". It matches the Rfam family "Bacterial small subunit ribosomal RNA", at positions 1 to 1197 of the family's 1533-position model. The record is from RNAcentral. Lineage: Bacteria; Bacillati; Bacillota; Bacilli; Lactobacillales; Lactobacillaceae.